Molecule: non-coding RNA, 129 nt
Organism: Streptococcus pseudoporcinus LQ 940-04
Lineage: Bacteria; Bacillati; Bacillota; Bacilli; Lactobacillales; Streptococcaceae
Source: Rfam
CCAACUAUUCCGUUAGUUGAGCCGAGUAUCGACUGCACUUAGGUGUGGUAAGCCGAUAUUAAAGUAGCCCUACUUGAGGUAAAACCGUGAGGAAAUACCGAAACUGCCAGCAACAAGGUGGUUAGGGAG